GCCCACCUGUCUCCAACAAGCUUGUACAUUCUAUAAAUGAGAUCUUCUUCUUGUUCGGACAUGUUUAUGAACUCCCAUUCAAUACUGCUCACCUCUUCAGAGCAACUCCUGGGUUGCUUCCUGCGGCGUCUAUCCAUUGCUGCUGCUGCGUUGGAUAUAUUGAGGAAGGAUUUGUGAGCUAAAACUGAAAGACGAAAAUUA
This 201-nucleotide unclassified non-coding RNA is filed under the name Hevea brasiliensis (rubber tree). Lineage: Eukaryota; Viridiplantae; Streptophyta; Magnoliopsida; Malpighiales; Euphorbiaceae. The record is from RNAcentral.